Solanum lycopersicum (tomato) is the source of this 4105-nucleotide RNA transcript. RefSeq lists it as uncharacterized. The record is from RefSeq and is a predicted model, not a curated record. Lineage: Eukaryota; Viridiplantae; Streptophyta; Magnoliopsida; Solanales; Solanaceae.
UAUGAUGACUUCCAUUGGACAUUUUUUAAAAAAAAUACGGGGUUUAUAUAUAUUUUUACUUUUUGAGAAAAUUAGAUUAAAGCCCAGGGAAUGGAGAAGAUGGAAACAGAAAUCGCCAUGGAAGAAAUUGAAGAAGAAGCACCGAAAAAUUCAUCGUUGUUUCCCGUUUUCCCUCAAGCGCAGAUAUCUUCAGCGUCCAAUCCCACCACUUCAUACGACGCCGUUCCUGAAUGGCUUCGCAAUUCCAGCUUCACCACCGACAUCUCCGUGAUAAACGACGCCGUUAUGACGGACUACGGGAAUGUCCAGUUCCAAGAGAAUCUAGAGGAAGACGAAGGAGAAGAUGUAGAGAACAAAAAUCAGAAAGGAGAGGGUGCACCGUAUGAAUUGCUGCACUCGUCCGGGUCGGAGCGGGGACACUCGUCUUCUGAUGAUGAUGGAAGAGACUGCAAGAAGAAGAAGCGGAAAAAGAAGCGCAAGAAGAGUCAUCGAUCGAGUGAUGACCGUCCACUCUAUGACUAUGCACUUUCUGCUUCCAGAAAACCGGACGUUCGAACUUGGGCUUCUUCAACUGCUGCUAAUGUUAAAGACUAUUACUUUGACUCUCGUGGCGAUCGAGACAAUUUAGCUUUUGGUAGUAUCUACAGGAUGGAUGUUGCUCGUUACAAGCUUCAUAAUUUGAGGAAGACCUCUGAGAUCAAUAACUAUAGGCGGAACGAUAAGAGAAAUUUUGAAAGGGAUAUUGAUAUUGAUGCGUUGGAUGAUAAACUAAGGUCUGGAGGUCGCUAUUGGUCUGGGACAUAUGCUGCAAUUGAGCACCAUAAGAACCUGAAGCGUCUAAAAAUUUUGACUCCUCACAAGCCAAUGAUGAAUAUUCCAGCUGAUUUUGUCUCAUUGGCAGAUGAAGUUAAGUCAGAUGAAGGAAUCAGAGGAGAUGCUAUUUCAGGAAAUGCUGUGGUCGAGGAAUCUCUGGAGGAUGAGGUCUAUCGCAAAACAAAGGAAUUCAACAAGAUGACAAGAGAACGGCCACAUGAUGAACAAAUUUGGUUGGCUUUUGCACAGUUCCAAGAUAAGGUAGCAAGUAUGCAGCCACAGAAAGGUGCCCGUUUGCAAACACUCGAAAAGAAGAUUAGUAUUCUGGAGAAGGCUACAGAGCUGAACCCUGACAGCGAGGACCUGCUUCUCUCUCUUAUGAGUGCUUAUCAGAGCAGAGAUAGCAUUGAUGACCUGAUUAGCCGAUGGGAAAAGAUACUUAUCCAAAAUUCAGGUAGUUGCACAUUGUGGAGAGAAUUUUUGCGGGUUGUUCAGGGUGACUUCUCAAGAUUUAAGGUUUCUGAAAUGAGAAAAAUGUAUGCAAAUGCAAUUCAAGCUUUAUCUGGUGCAUGGACUAAGCAGCAUAGGCAGGUUUCUGGAGGUGCUAAUUCGCCUUCUAUGGAUCCUGCUAUUGUAAGACUUGAACUUGGUCUGGUUGAUACAUUUCUCAGUCUCUGUCGGUUCGAGUGGCAGGCUGGGUACAGAGAGUUGGCUACUGCCUUGUUUCAGGCACAGAUUGAAUACAGCUUGUUCUCCCCUUCUUUACUUCUUAGUGAGCAAAGUAAGCAAAGAUUAUUUGAGCAUUUCUGGAACAGUAAUGGUGCCAGGGUUGGGGAAGAUGGGGCACUCGGCUGGUCAAAGUGGCUAGAGAAAGAGGAAGAGCUGAGGCAAAGGGCUAUGAGGGAGGAGUCUUCACAUGCUUCUGAAAAGGGUGGUUGGACUGGUUGGUCAGAACCGUCAUCUAAAGGUAAAGAAAAGAAUGAAGCUAUAGAAAAUAUAACAGAGACUGAUGGUGCUCUUGACGAGUUAGAAGAGGAAUCUGAAAUGAAAGAUGAUGAGCAGAAAGAUGAUACUGAAGCUUUGCUUAAAAUGCUUGGUAUUGAUGCUACUGCUGAAGCUAAUUGUGAGAUUAAAGACACAAGAACUUGGACUAGGUGGUCUGAAGAAGAGGUAGCAAGAGACUCUAACGAGUGGAUGCCAGUCCAUGCUAAAACUGGGAUUUCUCAUAGUGAGGAUCCUGCUGAUGCAGAGGGUGAUGAGCAGCUUUUGAGAGUAAUAGCAUACGAAGAUUUGAGUGACUACCUGUUCUCGAUAAUUUCUGAAGAAGCAUGUUUUUCCUUGGUAUCCCAGUUCAUUGAUUUUUAUGGUGGGAGGAUGGCUCAAUGGACUUGUACGAACAGUUCAAGUUGGGCUGAAAAAUACCUUAGUUUGGAGGCAAUUCCAGAUUCUCUCUUUGAUGAACUAAGAAGAAUGCACAAUGUUUUAACCAAGGAAGGAAGGAACCGAACUGAAACAAGUUUGGAACAAGUUCUUAGCAGCUCUGGUGAUAUCUCUAUGAGGACUAGCAUGAUGAGAUUUAUUCGAAAUGCUACAUUGCUUUGCUGCACUAUAUUUCCCCAAAAUCAUAUUUUGGAAGAAGCUGUUCUUAUUGCGGAGGAGCUAUCAAAGACAGUGAUGAAUACUUCUAGCUGUUCAGUAACACCAUGUCGAACUUUAGCAAAAAGCCUUUUGAAGAGUAACCGUCAGGAUGUAUUGCUUUGUGGAGUUUAUGCACGACGGGAAGCAGUUUUUGGAAAUAUUGACCAUGCUAGAAAGAUUUUCGACAUGGCAUUGUCUUCUAUUGAUGGACUUCCACAGCAGGGUGUUCAGACAAAUGCAUCUCUUUUACAUCUCUGGUACGCUGAAGUGGAGGUCUCAAACGGUAUUCAUGGUGGUUCCGGAUCGUCUGAAUCGUCUUUACGUGCUAUGCAUAUUUUAUCUUGCUUGGGUAGUGGUACAAAAUACAGUCUGUAUAGAUGUAAACCUUCAAGCCUGCAACAGCUGAAAGCACGCCAAGGAUUCAAAGAACAAGUGAAUAUGCUACGUUCAUCAUGGACACGCGGUUUAAUUGAUGAUAAUUCAGUUGCUCUCAUAUGUUCAGCUGCUUUAUUUGAAGAAAUAACAAUUGGAUGGACUGAAGGUGUUCAGAUUUUAGAGCAAGCAUUCACAAUGGUGCUUCCUGAAAGGAGGCGGCACAGUCAUCAUUUGGAGUGUUUGUUCAACUUUUACAUGAGGAUGCUUUGCAGACAUCAUCAAGAAAUGAAGCUGUCAAAAUUAUGGGAAUAUAUAGUGACAGGACUGGAUAUAUAUCCAUGCAGUCCGAAUCUUUAUAAUGCAUUAGUCGAAAUUGGCCAUCUCUAUGCGUCACCUAAUAAGCUACGGUGGAUCUUUGAUGAGAAAUUCCAAAAGAAACCUUCACUUGUUGCUUGGCUCUUUGCAUUAUCAUUUGACAUGAGUAGAGGUGGUACAGAGCAUAGAAUACGCAGACUUUUUGAGAGGGCAUUGGAGAAUGAGAAGCUACGCAACUCAGUUUUAGUCUGGCGCUCGUAUAUUGCUUAUGAAAGUGACAUAGCAUGCAACCCUUCUGCAGCUAGAAGAGCUUUCUUUCGAGCCAUACAUGCUUGCCCGUGGUCAAAACGGCUCUGGCUUGAUGGCUUCAUCAAGUUAAGUUCUUUUCUAACAGCGAAAGAGUUGUCGGAUCUCCAGGAAGUAAUGCGGGAUAAAGAACUCAAUUUGAGGACAGAUAUUUAUGAAAUACUACUGCAAGAUGAUGUUGAAUCUUAAGUUAUGAAAUCAAGAUUUCUUGAGUUGUGGAUGGGUAACAUGCCCGUCAUAUGACACACUCAUGUUCUGCCACAUGCCUUUUUUCAGUGCGAAACUUUGAAGCACCUCGUCUUGGUUCAUUUUGGAUAAUGCUAAAUGUUGACUCAUGAACUUCUCGAGUGGCACUACCGAAAGGCCAUCAAUGUGGUUAUUAUUAUGUUAUGCAGUGAAAAAGACACCCAACCAUCCUUAAAAGAAAGCAAACUUUGCAUCGCACCACAAUUAUGUUAUGUUAUAUUACAGUAGGAGGUUUUCUGCCAGACACCAUGGGAUUGGAGAGGUUAAAUGUUCGUUCUAGUUUCAUCUGGCUUCAGGACCGCACAGACCUCAAAGUCAGUGGGAAGUUUAAACAGGAUACCCCAAUCGCUGAAAUAAAUGUAUAUCUGGGAACUUGAUUACAAUGAUCAACCGUUAAAUUACAAUCAAAAUA